GACGGGGCCCGCACAAGCGGAGGAACAUGUGGUUUAAUUCGAUGAUACGCGAGGAACCUUACCUGGGCUUAAAGUGGGGAGUGACAGCUGGCGAAAGUUGGUUUUCUUCGGACACUCUUCAAGGUGCUGCAUGGUUGUCGUCAGCUCGUGCCGUGAGGUGUCGGGUUAAGUCCCAUAACGAGCGCAACCCUUACUGUUAGUUGCCAGCGGGUCAAGCCGGGAACUCUAACGGGACUGCCACCGUAAGGUGAGAGGAAGGUGGGGAUGACGUCAAAUCAGCACGGCCCUUAUGUCCAGGGCUACACACGUGUUACAAUGGUCGGUACAAAGGGUUGCCAAGCCGCGAGGUGGAGCUAAUCCCAUAAAACCGAUCGUAGUCCGGAUCGCAGUCUGCAACUCGACUGCGUGAAGUCGGAAUCGCUAGUAAUCGUGAAUCAGAAUGUCACGGUGAAUACGUUCCCGGGCCUU
RNAcentral lists this ribosomal RNA (468 nucleotides) under uncultured Sphingobacteriales bacterium. Its description in RNAcentral is "bacterial SSU rRNA". It matches the Rfam family "Bacterial small subunit ribosomal RNA", at positions 916 to 1381 of the family's 1533-position model. The record is from RNAcentral. Lineage: Bacteria; Pseudomonadati; Bacteroidota; Sphingobacteriia; Sphingobacteriales.